RNAcentral lists this long non-coding RNA (347 nucleotides) under Elaeis guineensis (African oil palm). Its description in RNAcentral is "long non-coding RNA (EGUI_LNC061646)". The record is from RNAcentral. Lineage: Eukaryota; Viridiplantae; Streptophyta; Magnoliopsida; Arecales; Arecaceae.
GCUCCCGUAGGAGUCCGGACGGAGCUUACCCGCGUUCGAAGUCGAGGAUGAAGUCCGGCUCCCGUAGGAGUCCGGACGGAGCCUUAUUGCAAAGGGGCCGCUGGGGAAGGUCCCCCUCUUUCUCAUCUGGUCUUAAAUGGCCAGACUUUAAUUGAUGUCGGGGUGAGGUUCUUUUCCUAUUUCUAUCAUAACAGGUUUCAGCUCUGGUUAGGAUGAGGUUCUCCUCUUGUCUCUAAUGCGGCUGUAGGGGCACAUAUGGGCGUUGCUGGGCCCUUCCCCCCAUCCGGUCUAAAGAGAACCGGGCCUUCAACUUUGCUCGAGUUAGGAUGAGGUUCUCCUCCUGUCCC